UUUAGCGUCUCAAAUCUUUCGAAAAGCAGCGAACCCAGAAAGUUCCGCUUUGCUUAUUAUCACGUUUCGUAACUUCAGUGCGUUUCAUUCCUCAACUUGCUCGUAUCGUUCUUUCGCAUCAACUGCUGUUAAAUCAGAAGCAAUACGCCGAAGAAAUCAUUAUGCGGGCGGGCAUGACUAAUUGUAGUCCGUCCCCUACUCCUAAACUCCUAAACAGAAGCUUAGUGCUUCCGCAGAUGAGCCGUUCAUCGAUCCGGCCAAGUAUCAUACGGCGCAUGGCUGCAUUAAAUCGGAUUUUGCGCUACGUACGGGGGUCUAUUGAUUUUGGCCUGCAUAUUUAUAAGUCAAAUGUUCGCAACUUGGUAUCAUAUACAGAUGUAGAUUGGGCAUUGGGUGGUUUCCCGGACACCAGAACGUCCAGAUCGGGCUAUUGUGUGGGGUCUAUUGAUUUUGGCCUGCAUAUUUAUAAGUCAAAUGAUUUUGUUUUUUAGCGUUUGUCUUUAGCCUAUUUUGUCGUUUAGUGGGGUGAUAGGUAUCUUGAAAUACAUAUAAGAUAUUGAUUUAUUUUUCCUCGUUGCUUUCAAGCCUUAAUUGUUAGUACUACUAGCUAUUACUACAUUCGCUUCAAAAUAAUCUUUAUAUUUUUCGUUUUA
This is a long non-coding RNA of Spinacia oleracea (spinach), 653 nucleotides long. RefSeq lists it as uncharacterized. NCBI's taxonomy places the organism in Eukaryota, Viridiplantae, Streptophyta, Magnoliopsida, Caryophyllales, Amaranthaceae. The transcript has 2 exons. The record is from RefSeq and is a predicted model, not a curated record.